GGCGCGUUCGUCUAGCGGCCAGGACGUGGCCCUCUCAAGGCCAAAACACGGGUUCGAUUCCCGUACGCGCUACCA
RNAcentral lists this transfer RNA (75 nucleotides) under Bacteroidota bacterium. RNAcentral describes it as "tRNA-Glu". It matches the Rfam family "tRNA". Rfam says of the family: Transfer RNA (tRNA) molecules are approximately 80 nucleotides in length. Their secondary structure includes four short double-helical elements and three loops (D, anti-codon, and T loops). Further hydrogen bonds mediate the characteristic L-shaped molecular structure. tRNAs have two regions of fundamental functional importance: the anti-codon, which is responsible for specific mRNA codon recognition, and the 3' end, to which the tRNAs corresponding amino acid is attached (by aminoacyl-tRNA synthetases). tRNAs cope with the degeneracy of the genetic code in two manners: having more than one tRNA (with a specific anti-codon) for a particular amino acid; and 'wobble' base-pairing, i.e. permitting non-standard base-pairing at the 3rd anti-codon position. Lineage: Bacteria; Pseudomonadati; Bacteroidota. The record is from RNAcentral.